ACCCUGAGAGCGUCUCGGAAACUCCUUAGGUUGAGCAGUGGAGAGGCAUCUGGAAUGCCGCAUGUAGGAGUAAAAUCCGUAGAUAUGCGGUAGAACGCCAAAAGCGAAGGCAGGAUGCUAGCCACUUGCUGACACUGAGAGACGAAAGCGUGGGGAGCAAAGGGGAUUAGAUACCCCCGUAGUCCACGCCCUAAACGAUGUGUGCUCGAUGUGGGAGGUUCUCAAUUGCCUUCCGUGUCCAAGCUAACGCGGUAAGCACACCGCCUGGGAAGUACGGUCGCAAGACUAAAACUCAAAGGAAUAGACGGGGACCCACACAAGCGGUGGAGCAUGGGGUUUAAUUCGAUAGUAAGCGAAGAACCUCACCCAGGCUUGACAUCUCGGGAAGCCUCCAGAAACGGAGGUGUGCCG
RNAcentral lists this ribosomal RNA (411 nucleotides) under uncultured bacterium. Its description in RNAcentral is "bacterial SSU rRNA". It matches the Rfam family "Bacterial small subunit ribosomal RNA", at positions 612 to 1019 of the family's 1533-position model. The record is from RNAcentral.